This 82-nucleotide small nucleolar RNA is filed under the name Pteropus vampyrus (large flying fox). RNAcentral's name for it is "Small nucleolar RNA R38 (ENSPVAG00000029077.1)". The record is from RNAcentral. Lineage: Eukaryota; Metazoa; Chordata; Mammalia; Chiroptera; Pteropodidae.
CUUUUUCAUGAUGAUAUAAAGUUAUUCCUGUAUGAAGGCAAAGAAAGGCCUUUCUGUGUAAUUUUGGAUGUCUGAAACUCAG